GUAGGUGGCAAGCGUUGUCCGGAAUUAUUGGGCGUAAAGCGCGCGCAGGCGGUUCUUUAAGUCUGAUGUGAAAAGCCCACGGGCUCAACCGUGGAGGGUCAUUGGAAACUGGAGAACUUGAGUACAGAAGAGGAAAGCGGAAUUCCACGUGUAGCGGUGAAAUGCGUAGAGAUGUGGAGGAACACCAGUGGCGAAGGCGGCUUUCUGGUCUGUAACUGACGCUGAGGCGCGAAAGCGUGGGGAGCAAACAGGAUUAGAUACCCUGGUAGUCCACGCCGUAAACGAUGAGUGCUAAGUGUUAGGGGGUUUCCGCCCCUUAGUGCUGCAGCUAACGCAUUAAGCACUCCGCCUGGGGAGUACGGCCGCAAAGGCUG
Molecule: ribosomal RNA, 374 nt
Filed under: uncultured organism
Description: partial 16S ribosomal RNA
Rfam family: Bacterial small subunit ribosomal RNA
Source: RNAcentral